RNAcentral lists this long non-coding RNA (1079 nucleotides) under Gallus gallus (chicken). Its description in RNAcentral is "lncRNA (ENSGALG00010010117.1)". Lineage: Eukaryota; Metazoa; Chordata; Aves; Galliformes; Phasianidae. The record is from RNAcentral.
GGAGGGAGGGAGGGAUGGAGGGAUGGAUGGAUGGAGGGACAUAGGGAUAGAUGGAGGGGAGGAGGGAUGGAUGGAUGGAUGGAGGGAUAGAGGGACAUAGGGAUGGAUGGAGGGAAGGAGCGAGGGAUGGAUGGAUGGAGGAGUGAUGGAUGGAUGGGCGGAUGGAGGGAUGAAUGGACGGAGAGAUGGGUGGAUGAAUGGAUGGAGGGAUGGAAGGAGGGAGGGAUGGGGGGGUGGAUGGAGGGAUGGAUGGAGAGAUGGACAUAGGGAUGGAUGGAGGGAAGGAGGAAUGGAUGGAUGGAGGGAGGGAGGGAUGGAUGGAUGGACAUAGGGAUGGAUGGACAUAGGGAUGGAUGGAGGGAUGGAUGGAGGGAGGGAUGGAAGGGUGGAUGGAGGGAUGGAUGGAGAGAUGGAUGGAUGGGCGGAUGGAGGGAGGGAGGGAUGGAUGGAGGAGUGAUGGAUGGAUGGGCGGAUGGAGGGAUGGAUGGACGGAGAGAUGGGUGGAUGGAUGGGUGUGUGGACAUUGGGAUGGAGGGAGGGAGGGAUGGAUGGAUGGGCGGAUGGAGGGAUGGAAGGAGGGAGGGAGGGAUGGAUGGAUGGGUGGAUGGAGAGAUGGGUGGAUGGAUGGAUAGAUGGACAUAGGGAUAGAUGGAGGGAAGGAGGGAUGGAUGGAUGGAUGGAGGGAUAGAGGGACAUAGGGAUGGAUGGAGGGAAGGAGGGAGGGAUGGACGGAUGGAUGGGCAGAGGGAUGGAUGGAUGGAUGGAUGGAAGGAGGGAUGGAUGGAGGGAUGGAUGGAUGGGUGGACAUAGGGAUGGAUGGAUGGAGGGAGGGAUGGAUGGAGGGAUGGAGGGAGGGAUGGAUGGAUGGGUGGAUGGGUGUGUGGACAUUGGGAUGGAUGGAUGGACAGAUGGAGGGAUGGAGGGAAGGAGGGAGGGAUGGAUGGAGGGAGGGAGGGAUGGAUGGAUGGAGGGAAGGAGCAAGGGAUGGAUGGAUGGAGGGAUGGAUGGAGGGAUGGACAUAGGGAUGGAUGGAGGGAAGGAGGGAUGGAUGGAUGGAGGAGGGAUGAAUGGAUGGGCAG